RNAcentral lists this ribosomal RNA (500 nucleotides) under uncultured bacterium. Its description in RNAcentral is "partial 16S ribosomal RNA". It matches the Rfam family "Bacterial small subunit ribosomal RNA", at positions 29 to 523 of the family's 1533-position model. The record is from RNAcentral.
AUUGAACGCUGGCGGCAUGCCUUACACAUGCAAGUCGAACGGCAGCACGGGUGCUUGCACCUGGUGGCGAGUGGCGAACGGGUGAGUAAUACAUCGGAACGUACCUUAUCGUGGGGGAUAACGCAGCGAAAGCUGUGCUAAUACCGCAUACGCCCUGAGGGGGAAAGCGGGGGAUCGCAAGACCUCGCGCGAUUAGAGCGGCCGAUGCCUGAUUAGCUAGUUGGUGGGGUAAAAGCCCACCAAGGCGACGAUCAGUAGCUGGUCUGAGAGGACGAUCAGCAAGACUGGGGAUGAGACACGGCCCAGACUCCUACGGGAGGCAGCAGUGGGGAAUUUUGGACAAUGGGGGCAACCCUGAUCCAGCAAUGCCGCGUGAGUGAAGAAGGCCUUCGGGUUGUAAGCUCUUUUGUCAGGGAAGAAACACCGGCUCUAACACAGUCCGGGAAUGACGGUACCUGAAGAAUAAGCACCGGCUAACUACGUGCCAGCCGCCGCCGUAA